GGGAAUGUGGCUCAGGGGUAGAGUGCUUGCCUAGUAUGCAUGAAGCUCUGGGUUCAAUUCCGCAGUACCA
This 70-nucleotide transfer RNA is filed under the name Dipodomys ordii (Ord's kangaroo rat). It matches the Rfam family "tRNA". From Rfam's summary of the family: Transfer RNA (tRNA) molecules are approximately 80 nucleotides in length. Their secondary structure includes four short double-helical elements and three loops (D, anti-codon, and T loops). Lineage: Eukaryota; Metazoa; Chordata; Mammalia; Rodentia; Heteromyidae. The record is from Rfam by way of RNAcentral.